UUUAUUUGAUUUUCGAUUGAUGAUAAAUAAGAAUGGAAGAGUGUUCAUUUUGAUGCAACUGAAAAAAAAAGCAAGUUGACCGUCAUGGUUUCGUUUCAUUUUGGAGAAUCUUCUAAUUAAUUACGGAACAUUAAAAAAACCCUGGAUGGCAUUAAUUUACAGUGCCUUGGUUGUGUCAGUGUUCAUUCGAUUCAGAAAGUAGCUAUCCUAAAAAGAAGCACAAAAGUGCCUUUUUUCCAUUGAGAAGGGAUACAUUGUGGCAUUGAUGAAGGAAGGAUUUAUGACGAAUGAACUGAUUGUCCAAGUGAAAAGGAAUUAAUUCUGAUGGUACUGAAAGAGCUGAUGCUUUUGACGUCUUACCCUUGCAACAUAGUUUUGAACCUGUGAGGAGGAGGCAUCUGGAUAUUAAUUUGGAAACAACUAAAACAACAAAUAGUCUGCAGUGGUAUUCCUCCUGGAUUUUGCUUGUUCAUUCGAUCUGUGGACCUUUUAAAAGCUACUUUCUGCAGUUAAUUAAGAUUGCCCAACAAAUGAGUUCAGUUUGGCGCUACUCGAGCAACCGUCUACACUCUACAUGGGUGUGGUCUUUUCUCGACGUUGUUUGU
This 605-nucleotide long non-coding RNA is filed under the name Agrilus planipennis (emerald ash borer). RNAcentral's name for it is "uncharacterized LOC108736801, transcript variant X1". Lineage: Eukaryota; Metazoa; Arthropoda; Insecta; Coleoptera; Buprestidae. The record is from RNAcentral.